This 253-nucleotide ribosomal RNA is filed under the name uncultured bacterium. RNAcentral's name for it is "partial 16S ribosomal RNA". It matches the Rfam family "Bacterial small subunit ribosomal RNA", at positions 524 to 776 of the family's 1533-position model. The record is from RNAcentral.
UACGAACCACACGAACGUUAUUCGGAAUUACUGGGCUUAAAGGGUGCGUAGGCUGUGCAGAAAGUUAGGUGUGAAAUCCCCCGGCUCAACCGGGGAAUUGCGCUUAAAACUACUGUGCUAGAGGAAGACAGAGGUGAGCGGAACUUCGGGUGGAGCGGUGAAAUGCGUUGAUAUCCGAAGGAACACCGGUGGCGAAAGCGGCUCACUGGGUGUUUUCUGACGCUGAGGAACGAAAGCCAGGGGAGCGAACGGG